GAUGAACGCUGGCGGCGUGCAUAACACAUUCAAGUCGAACGGGAAUCAAGCCUUAGCUUGCUAAGGGUUGAGGAUAGUGGCGGACGGGUGAGUAACGCGUGAGCAAUCUGCCUUGGUUUGGGGGAUAACGUCUGGAAACGGACGCUAAUACCGCAUAACGUAUCGAGAUCGCAUGUCCUUGAUACCAAAGCUCCGGCGAACCAAGAUGAGCUCGCGUCCGAUUAGAUAGUUGGUGGGGUAACGGCCUACCAAGUCUGCGAUCGGUAGCCGGACUGAGAGGUUGAACGGCCACAUUGGAACUGAGAUACGGUCCAGACUCCUACGGGAGGCAGCAGUGGGGAAUCUUGCGCAAUGGGGGAAACCCUGACGCAGCAACGCCGCGUGAAGGAAGAAGGCCUUCGGGUUGUAAAGUUCUUUUAGUAGUGAAGAUGAUGACAGUAACUACAGAAAAGCACCGGCUAACUUCGUG
Molecule: ribosomal RNA, 469 nt
Filed under: uncultured bacterium
Lineage: Bacteria
Description: bacterial SSU rRNA
Rfam family: Bacterial small subunit ribosomal RNA
Source: RNAcentral